Molecule: long non-coding RNA, 1120 nt
Organism: Siniperca chuatsi (mandarin fish)
Lineage: Eukaryota; Metazoa; Chordata; Actinopteri; Centrarchiformes; Sinipercidae
Exons: 4
Source: RefSeq, a predicted model, not a curated record
UGUUACUAAUAACAACGAUGGCUGCAUUCCAUUUAGGUAAGCCAGUUCCAGGGCUCUGGAGUCACUGACAUGGCUUACUGGACACUGGAGCCAUCGUUAAUCUUAUUAUUUACAGCUGAGCUUUUCCUGCUAGAUGAGUCAAAAUGUCUGCUGUGAAAAGGGUCUAUGGAAGUCAAGCAGAAGUGGAGAGAAACUGAACAGGACUAGAAAUGACUCUGCAAGCACCAUGAAGCUGGACGGAUGCUUUCCUGUUGAAAUCCAAUUAGUCUCUUCAACAAGACAUUUCCUGGCCAUUAGCGGAGGAAGGACAACACUGACUCACUCCCAUCCCCCACCUGAGGACUUACCUACAGUAAAAAGUGGGAUUUAUGAAGGGGAAAUGCUAACCCAGACCCUGAGGAGAAGAGAGGAAUUCAGAACAUAUGGAAAGGGCAAUACUGUGGUAACCUGCGAAGUGGAGUCACAUCGACCAUGAUUUGGUGCGAUUACAUGUGGAAGUAAAACAGGGCCUCAGGUUUAGUUGACAGGCUGCAGUCGACCUGCUCUGGCCACCGGCCGAGACCACAGAUGGUCAUCGGUGAGGGAGAGGAGAGGACGUCCACCUUCAGCACAUUAACUGGCAUUCAAACCAGAUUACCGUCCUGGACUCUUUUUGACAUUCUUCUGACUGGAUGGCAGAAUGGGGACUCAGUUUCCUCUCGUUUUCUUUGGUUAUUUUCCUUUAUUUUUUUCUCUUCAUAUAUUCCACAUACGGGUGUAUUUAUACUACAAUCAACCUAAACCCCAAUGACUACACUCAGGUGAUCUCUAUUGAACUAAUUAUGUGACUUCUAAAACCAAUUGGCUGCACCAGUGAUGAUUUAGAUGUCUUAUUAAAAGGGGUGAAGAGAUAUGCAAAUAUGUAUUUUAUAUUUGUAAUUAAUAUGAGUCACUUUUUUUUCUUUGAUCCAAUGAUGUAAAACAAUAAAACAUGAAAACUUUCAAAGGGGGGCGACCACUUUAUGUGGCCACUGUAUGAGCUGUACAUGAAUAUUAGUACUGCACUGAUGAGUUGGUGCUUUCUACCCUUUCUCUUCAGUGUCAAUUUGUAACUAUAAAUGAAACUACUCCUGAAACUAUC